Molecule: ribosomal RNA, 113 nt
Filed under: Pteropus alecto (black flying fox)
Lineage: Eukaryota; Metazoa; Chordata; Mammalia; Chiroptera; Pteropodidae
Source: RNAcentral
CUUAAUGGCCAUGCCACCCUGAACAGGCCCGGUCCCAUCUGAUCUCGGAAGCUAAGCAGGGUCGGGCCUGCUUAGGGAUGGGAGACUACCUAGGAAGACCAGGUGCUGUAGGC